AGUUUGAUCCUGGCUCAGAUUGAACGCUGGCGGAAUGCUUUACACAUGCAAGUCGAACGGCAGCACGGGAGCUUGCUCCUGGUGGCGAGUGGCGAACGGGUGAGUAAUGCGUCGGAACGUACCGAGUAAUGGGGGAUAACGCACCGAAAGGUGUGCUAAUACCGCAUACGCCCUGAGGGGGAAAGCAGGGGAUCGCAAGACCUUGCGUUAUUCGAGCGGCCGACGUCUGAUUAGCUAGUUGGUGGGGUAAAGGCCUACCAAGGCGACGAUCAGUAGCGGGUCUGAGAGGAUGAUCCGCCACACUGGAACUGAGACACGGUCCAGACUCCUACGGGAGGCAGCAGUGGGGAAUUUUGGACAAUGGGGGAAACCCUGAUCCAGCCAUUCCGCGUGAGUGAAGAAGGCCUUCGGGUUGUAAAGCUCUUUCAGCUGGAACGAAACGGUACGCUCUAACAUAGCGUGCUAAUGACGGUACCAGCAGAAGAAGCACCGGCUAACUACGUGCCAGCAGCCGCGGUAAUACGUAGGGUGCGAGCGUUAAUCGGAAUUACUGGGCGUAAAGCGUGCGCAGGCGGAUUGUUAAGCAAGACGUGAAAUCCCCGGGCUUAACCUGGGAAUGGCGUUUUGAACUGGCAGUCUAGAGUGUGUCAGAGGGGGGUAGAAUUCCACGUGUAGCAGUGAAAUGCGUAGAGAUGUGGAGGAAUACCAAUGGCGAAGGCAGCCCCCUGGGAUAACACUGACGCUCAUGUACGAAAGCGUGGGUAGCAAACAGGAUUAGAUACCCUGGUAGUCCACGCCCUAAACGAUGUCAACUGGUUGUUGGGGGAGUGAAAUCCCUUAGUAACGAAGCUAACGCGUGAAGUUGACCGCCUGGGGAGUACGGUCGCAAGAUUAAAACUCAAAGGAAUUGACGGGGACCCGCACAAGCGGUGGAUGAUGUGGAUUAAUUCGAUGCAACGCGAAAAACCUUACCUACCCUUGACAUGUCCAGAAUCCUGCAGAGAUGCGGGAGUGCCCGAAAGGGAAUUGGAA
Molecule: ribosomal RNA, 1032 nt
Filed under: uncultured bacterium
Lineage: Bacteria
Description: bacterial SSU rRNA
Rfam family: Bacterial small subunit ribosomal RNA
Source: RNAcentral